Molecule: non-coding RNA, 20 nt
Filed under: Arabidopsis thaliana (thale cress)
Lineage: Eukaryota; Viridiplantae; Streptophyta; Magnoliopsida; Brassicales; Brassicaceae
Source: RNAcentral
UUUGAAGUGUUUGCUGAAUA